CCCUUAGAUGUUCUGGGCCGCACGCGCGCUACAAUGAUGAAUUCAACGAGUUUAUAACCUUGGUUGAAAAGCCUGGGUAAUCCUUUGAACUUUCGUCGUGAUGGGGCUAGACCCUUGCAAUUAUUGGUCUCCAACGAGGAAUUCCUAGUAAACGCAAGUCAUCAGCUUGCAUUGAUUACGUCCCUGCCCUUUGUACACACCGCCCGUCGCACCUACCGAUUGAAUGGUCCGGUGAAAUCUUCGGAUUGAGACUUUGAUUUCUUCACGGAAAACGCUGUUUUAAGAAGUUGAUUAAACCUUACCAUUUAGAGGAAGGUGAAGUCGUAACA
This 329-nucleotide ribosomal RNA is filed under the name uncultured eukaryote. RNAcentral's name for it is "partial 18S ribosomal RNA". It matches the Rfam family "Eukaryotic small subunit ribosomal RNA", at positions 1470 to 1796 of the family's 1831-position model. The record is from RNAcentral.